This 108-nucleotide microRNA precursor is filed under the name Theobroma cacao (cacao). Its description in RNAcentral is "pre miRNA MIR164". It matches the Rfam family "MIR164 microRNA precursor family". Lineage: Eukaryota; Viridiplantae; Streptophyta; Magnoliopsida; Malvales; Malvaceae. The record is from RNAcentral.
AGCUCCUUGUUGGAGAAGCAGGGCACGUGCAAAAUUGCCAAUCCAUUUUGGCUUCUCAAAUGCCAUGUCUCGCGUUCUGCACGUGCUCCCCUUCUCCAACACGGGUUC